CACGGAAGGGAGCAGGGAUCUUCAGUGGACAACAGAAGCAACACAAGCCUUCGACCAACUAAAGAAGGCUCUUAUGUCAGCUCCAGCCCUGGGACUUCCAGAUCGGGAGUGAGGGAGAACCAGUGAUCCACGACUGCCUGGAGACCACUGAAGCCACCUACUCCAGUGCCCGGAUCUGAAGAACACCCCUCUUGAAGACGCUGAGACCUGGUUCACCGAUCAUCAGCAAAAAGGACAUGCUGGGUAUGUGGUUACCACAUGCAGACCAUUGCCAACAAACACCUCUGCACAAAAAGCUGAAAUAAUUGCCUAACCUGGGCCUUAGAGCUGGCAAAAGAAAAGAAAUCAACAUUUAUAUAGACUCGAGGUAUGCAUUUAGAAUGGUCUAUACACACAAAACUUUUUGAGGAAA
Molecule: long non-coding RNA, 412 nt
Organism: Catharus ustulatus (Swainson's thrush)
Lineage: Eukaryota; Metazoa; Chordata; Aves; Passeriformes; Turdidae
Exons: 2
Source: RefSeq, a predicted model, not a curated record